AUACGGAGGGUGCAAGCGUUAAUCGGAAUUACUGGGCGUAAAGCGUACGUAGGCGGUUUGCUAAGUCAGAUGUGAAAGCCCCGGGCUUAACCUGGGAACUGCAUUUGAUACUGGCAGACUAGAGUAUGAUAGAGGGGGGUAGAAUUCCUGGUGUAGCGGUGAAAUGCGUAGAUAUCAGGAGGAAUACCAGUGGCGAAGGCGGCCCCCUGGAUCAAUACUGACGCUGAGGUACGAAAGCGUGGGGAGCGAACAGGAUUAGAAACCCUAGUAGUCC
Molecule: ribosomal RNA, 274 nt
Filed under: uncultured bacterium
Lineage: Bacteria
Description: partial 16S ribosomal RNA
Rfam family: Bacterial small subunit ribosomal RNA
Source: RNAcentral